CUUCACCGAGCCGAGCAGCAGCGGCUGCUGCGGGUCACGGUCGGAGCCAUAGGUGGCCAGCAGGGCCUGGGCCUC
Non-coding RNA from Streptomyces nodosus, 75 nucleotides. It matches the Rfam family "ASpks TB sRNA". The record is from Rfam. Lineage: Bacteria; Bacillati; Actinomycetota; Actinomycetes; Kitasatosporales; Streptomycetaceae.